GGAAUUUUGCGCAAUGGGGGCAACCCUGACGCAGCAACGCCGCGUGCGGGACGACGGCCUUCGGGUUGUAAACCGCUUUCAGCAGGGAAGAACCUCUGACGGUACCUGCAGAAGAAGCCCCGGCUAACUACGUGCCAGCAGCCGCGGUAAAACGUAGGUCACAAGCGUUGUCCGGAAUUACUGGGUGUAAAGGGAGCGCAGGCGGGCAGACAAGUUGGAAGUGAAAUCCAUGGGCUCAACCCAUGAACUGCUUUCAAAACUGUAUGUCUUGAGUAGUGCAGAGGUAGGCGGAAUUCCCGGUGUAGCGGUGGAAUGCGUAGAUAUCGGGAGGAACACCAGUGGCGAAGGCGGCCUACUGGGCACCAACUGACGCUGAGGCUCGAAAGUGUGGGUAGCAAACAGGAUUAGAUACCCUGGUAGUCCACACCGUAAACGAUGAUUACUAGGUGUUGGAGGAUUGACCCCUUCAGUGCCGCAGUUAACACAAUAAGUAAUCCACCUGGGGAGUACGACCGCAAGGUUGAAACUCAAAGGAAUUGACGGGGGCCCGCACAAGCAGUGGAGUAUGUGGUUUAAUUCGACGCAACGCGAAGAACCUUACCAAGUCUUGACAUCCCUUGACGAUGCUGGAAACAGUAUUUCUCUUCGGAGCAAGGAGACAGGUGGUGCAUGGUUGUCGUCAGCUCGUGUCGUGAGAUGUUGGGUUAAGUCCCGCAACGAGCGCAACCCUUAUGGUCAGUUACUACGCAAGAGGACUCUGGCCAGACUGCCGUUGACAAAACGGAGGAAGGUGGGGAUGACGUCAAAUCAUCAUGCCCUUUAUGACUUGGGCUACACACGUACUACAAUGGCGUUAAACAAAGAGAAGCAAGACCGCGAGGUGGAGCAAAACUCAGAAACAACGUCCCAGUUCGGACUGCAGGCUGCAACUCGCCUGCACGAAGUCGGAAUUGCUAGUAAUCGCAGAUCAGCAUGCUGCGGUGAAUACGUUCCC
RNAcentral lists this ribosomal RNA (994 nucleotides) under uncultured bacterium. RNAcentral describes it as "bacterial SSU rRNA". It matches the Rfam family "Bacterial small subunit ribosomal RNA", at positions 358 to 1375 of the family's 1533-position model. The record is from RNAcentral.